AAAUCUUUCAUUUCAUCAUAGUUGCCCAGUGUAUUCUGGAUGCGAUUAGAGAGCUCGUCCCCCUUGUUAGUCUUGUACGGUUCACUGAAGAGGGAGUAACUGGUGUUAAAAGUGCCAUCCUCCUGCUGGGCCUCCUGAUUUCUCCUUUCCCAUUCUUUCCUGCGCAGCACGUUUCUGUCUGGCUCGUAGACGCACAGCGAGUCCAGGUCCCACUCCUGGAGCAGAGCUAAGUCGAAGCUGUCCAUGGUGAGCUCAGCUCAGCUCAGCUCAGCUCAGCGCCGCUGCGCCGCAGCCGCCCGGCGUCCGGGACGCAUCCCGACUGCACGGCGGGCGGGGACACCCCCCUUCUCUCCACCUGCCCCCGCUUUCCAAACAGAAAGGAACAAAUUAAAU
Molecule: long non-coding RNA, 393 nt
Filed under: Gallus gallus (chicken)
Lineage: Eukaryota; Metazoa; Chordata; Aves; Galliformes; Phasianidae
Source: RNAcentral